RNAcentral lists this long non-coding RNA (130 nucleotides) under Propithecus coquereli (Coquerel's sifaka). RNAcentral describes it as "Pvt1 onco conserved region 5 (ENSPCOG00000010704.1)". It matches the Rfam family "Pvt1 oncogene conserved region 5". Lineage: Eukaryota; Metazoa; Chordata; Mammalia; Primates; Indriidae. The record is from RNAcentral.
AAUCCUGUUACACCUGGGAUUUAGGCGCUUUUAAUCUGAAAAAAAUACAUAUUCCUUGAGCACUCCAGAAGGAUUUAAGAACCACCCUUCCCUGAACUAAAGCUGGAUGUUGUGGGAUUGCAGAAUUAAG